CCCUCCUACAAAGGCAUAUCUGUGGUUCCCUGUCUUUGGACAUAUAAGAAUUGGAGGCAAAGAAAUGUGAACUUGGAGAAGUCUAGAGCCAGCUUGUUCCUUGCGGGCUCAAGAUCAACCAUCCGACAUAG
Small nucleolar RNA from Molossus molossus (Pallas's mastiff bat), 131 nucleotides. RefSeq annotates it as small nucleolar RNA SNORA38. The record is from RefSeq and is a predicted model, not a curated record. The transcript has a single exon. NCBI's taxonomy places the organism in Eukaryota, Metazoa, Chordata, Mammalia, Chiroptera, Molossidae.